GGGCUCGUAGCUCAACGGUUAGAGCAUCGGCUUAUCACGCCGAAGGCGGGAGAAGGUUCUUGAGCGCA
RNAcentral lists this transfer RNA (68 nucleotides) under candidate division WWE3 bacterium RIFCSPHIGHO2_01_FULL_48_15. RNAcentral's name for it is "tRNA-Asp". It matches the Rfam family "tRNA". From Rfam's summary of the family: Transfer RNA (tRNA) molecules are approximately 80 nucleotides in length. The record is from RNAcentral. Lineage: Bacteria; candidate division WWE3.